This 4673-nucleotide long non-coding RNA is filed under the name Sus scrofa (pig). RNAcentral's name for it is "lncRNA (ENSSSCG00025043833.1)". Lineage: Eukaryota; Metazoa; Chordata; Mammalia; Artiodactyla; Suidae. The record is from RNAcentral.
UUUUUUUUUUUUUUUUUUUUUUUUUUGCCUUUUAUGGCCACACCCAUGGCAGAUGGAGGUUCCCAGGCUAGGGGUCAAAUCGGAGCUAUAGCCACCAGCCUACACCAGAGCCACAGCAACGAGGGAUCCGAGCCGCGUCUGCGGACCUACACCACAGCUCACGGCAACGUGGGAUCGUUAACCCACUGAACAAGGCCAGGGAUCGAACCCGCAACCUCAUGGUUCCUAGUUGGAUUCGUUAACCACUGCGCCAUGACGGGAACUCCCCUAUUUAAUUCUUAAGUUUAAUAGUUGGGGGAGUAUUUUGCUGAGAUUUGUCACUAGUUUUAACACACACAAGAUUAUUCCUGGGCCUAUGUUAUAAUAGGUUUGUCUUUUCACAGUCAGACUUCUUGGUUUAGGUGAAUGAUGUCACUAGACUGGCUACCAGUCCAACAAUGAGAUAAAUAAUUUUAUAUUGGUCAUGAAAUGUUUCCUAGUUGUAGUCCAUUCAUUGACAGGAAAGCUUUGGAGUAAAUACAACACAGGGGUUUUUGACUUAGCUAGUAAAAUUUACCCUCUUUUCCUAAAGAGUAAUGUAGUGGCUAAGACAUCAGUAACAUAGUUUGAGGUCAUUUAUUUUACUUUGUAGGGAACCAGGAUAUCAGGCGGAAUUGAAGUUGUCCAAAAGUACCACAGUUUUGUGUUGCUAGCUGGUGACAUGUUUAUGUCCUCAUGUGCCAAAUUAAAUGUGGGAGAUAGCCAGCAAGGGGGUAGGAACGGCCACAUUUAUUUUAUCCAGCUGGCACAUUGGUGGAGGUUGGUGCAUCUUGGGUUUUCUUGGUCCUGAUUUUUCUUCUGCUGAUUAUUGUCACUGUGAUCCAUGGCCCUUGGAGGGAGUUAAUGAUUUUUACAAGACAGCUACUCAUUGCUAAGCUAUGAUCCUUUGUUAUCUGUUUUCAUCAUGACGAAAUACGUAUUUUGAGAUACAUCAUUGCUGUCUCGAAGACUUGCUUUCAUUUUCCAACAGGAUCUUCAGUCUCACUUAAGUCUCCCAAGGGCUUCUCGUAUGGCACUUUCUGGACUAAUGCAGUGAGUGCAUUGGAUGUUGGAAUGGAGUCAAGUUUUCUCUCCCAACAUCUGGCUUGGCUGUGUGGCUCCCUGAGCAGCAGGUGCAGGAGAAUCACAGAACCCCAUCCCUUUUUAAGAUGCUUGACUUGGGGCUUCCCUGUUAGCCUCACAAGGCUUCCAGAGCACACUGAGGCUUUUGAGGUGGUCACACUCCCUUUUCAUAUGAAAGGGUCUUGCCCUCCUCUUUGCCAGCAGUUAAAGUUGUUUUAUACUUGUCGGUUCUUAACGGUGUUGCUGUCUUAUAAUUUCUGUUAAGGAGAGCCAUAGCUCAAAUCUAGUUUCCUUCUGUACUAGUAGGGGGAAAAGGUUAAGAUUAAAGAGACUUGAGACUAUGGAGGGAAUGGUGGAAUGCCUUCCCUUAGGCCUUUAUUGUUAUUAUUUUUCAAAGUUUUUUUUUUCCGCCUAAUUGUGAGAUACAAGGUGUUCCCUGGGGAUUCCCACCUGGUUUAAAGUGGUUUCCUUUGUGGAUGUGUCCUGUUGCUUAGCAGGUCAAUGAUGAAUCCACAUCUCAGAUCAUGGAUUAAGGGAUGGGUUUUAUUAGGGAAAGGGAGUUCCCAUGUGAGAGAAGAGGAGGCACGGGUCACCCAUCCUUCCAUUGUCCCAUUGAGUGGUGUGUCAGGGCCUCUCUCUGUUGGAGGGAUUCCCCUGCCCUCCUCCCAGUGCCCUCUCUUUUUAUCAGGAGUAAUCUUACCAGUGAGGAGAUGCGCAAACUGCCUGGAUGCUAAGAGUCUGUAUUUGGGUCUCCGCAAUCUAUAGACGUUGUCUGGGAGUGCCAGCUGCCCAACACUUGAAACCUUGGGUACCAUGGGACAAUAAACCUGCAGGAAGCAGUUUCAGGUCCUGUGGGAAGUUGAGCUUGGGUCUUUUGCAUUUUAGUGUACAAUUUAGGGUCAGUUUAUAAGUUAUACACGUACGUAUGUAUAAGCACACACAAGAGCAUGUGCAUACACACCCCUGUGGGGAUUUUGGUUGUAAUUGCAUUGAAUCAGUAAAACAUCUGAGGAGAAUUUACGUUUUUACAAUAUCAAGUUUUAUCCAUGCUACAGUAUAUCCAUUUCUUUAGGUCUUUGAAGUUUUUCAAUGAACUUUUACAAUUUUUCCAUUAGAAGUCUUACAUAUCUUUUAUUAAAUUUAUUCCUAGAUACUUGUUUUAUGUUUUUUAUGUAAUGAUGUUUUAAAUAUUCAUUUUUUGUUUAUUGCUGCUAUGUAAUAUAGAAAUCACUUUAUUUCUCCAUGUUCAUGUUGACUCCAGAGAUUGUGUUAAACUCUUACUAAUUCUGAUAUUUUAUCUGUAAAUAUUUUGCCUUUUUCUCUUCAAUCCUUGUCUUUUUCUUGCUUUACUCUGCUGACUAGGAUUCCAGUGUCAUGUUGAAUAGAAAUGGUAAUAGCGGGCAUCUCUUUUAGUUCCUGAUUUCAAAGGGAAGUCUUCAUCCUGCCAGAAUUUGUUGUAUAUAUAGCAUUUGAUAUUCCUUAUCAAGUUAAGGAUGUUUCUUCUCUUCCUACUGGCUGAAAGUUUUUAGUCAUGGAAGGGUAUUAAAAUGUAUCAAAAGCUUUUUCUGCAUCUCCUGAGCCAGUCAAGAUUUUUUGCCUUAUCAUUGUAAAUAUUUUUUUGUAGAUAUUUGUGAGGAUACCUGCUAAAGCAGAGAAGUAAUUCCAGUCCCAGCUAUUUUAUUAGACAUGGCUUUUUUUUUUUUUUUAAGUUUUAUUGAAGCGUAGUUGAUUUAUAAGGUUGUAUUUCUGCUGUACAACAAAGUGAUUCAGUCAUACAUACACAUAUCCGUUUCCUUUUUUUUUUUUUUGCCUUUUUAGGGCUAUACCCUCCACAUAUGGAAGUUCCCAGGCUAGGGGCAAAAUCUGAGCUACAGCAGCCUGCCUACACCACAACCACAGCAGUGAGGGAUCCAAGCCACAUGUGCAACCUACAUCACAGCUCACAGCAAUGCCGAAUCCCCGACCCACUGAGCAAGGCCAGAGAUUGAACCCAUGUUCUCAUGGAUACUAGUUGGAUUUGUUGCCACUGCGCCACAGCAGGAACUCACCACAUAUCCAUUUCUUUCAGAUUCUUUUCCCACAUAGAUUAUCACAGAAUAUUAGGUAGAGUUCUCUGUGCUAUAUAGCAGAUCUCCAUUGUCCAAUCUUUCCAUAUAUACUUCAGUGUGCAUGUGCCAAAGGCGUGGCUUUUAAAGAAAAUAAAAGGCCAUAAAAACAUUGUUCUUUCUCAUGUCUUACCUUCAGGUAAGUUCUAUAAAGCGUUUUGCUGCUGCAGCACAUUUCCUUUACAGAUUGUAAAACUUUAUUUUUAGUUGCUCAUAUGACUGUCCAUAUCUCCUGAAGUUUUUGAAAAGUGAUGCAAUGAAUCUGAACCUCAUUGUACUCACCUGUAGAAUGCCUGAAGGUGUUUUCUAACAGGUGGCUUUCAGUGGGAUUUCUGGCUUACCUUUGCCCUCAUAGAGAGCAGUUGCUAAUUCAGGCAUAUCUUCUAUUGAUAACAGAAAAUGGCCUUUUUACUGAGAUAAGCAGAGGACCUGUCAUAAGACAAUAGGCAUAUCAGCUUGAACACUGUCCUUCUUAACUGAAGAAUCUCCCCACUUUAUGUCAGGAACUCCUAUCAGACCUUUACUCUCUGCAUUGAGUUGUCAUGGAAGGCUGCCCCAUUCCCCUAAGUGGCUGGAGGAGCAGGCCUGUGAGAGGACCAGAAAUGACUGAGCUCCUGCUACCCUGGCAAUUGUUUUGUCUCAUCUUGAGAUUUUUUUUCUUUUUUUGUCUUUUUGCCUUUUCUUGGUCCGCUCCUGCAAUAUGUGGAGGUUCCCAGGCUAGGGGUCUAAUCGGAGCUGUAGCUGCCAGCCUACACCAGAGCCACAGCAAUGGGGGAUCCGAGCCAUUUCUGCGACCUACACCACAGCUCAUGGCAACACCGGAUCCUUAACCCACUGAGCAAGGCCAGGGGUUGAACCCGCAACCUCAUGGUUCCUAGUCAGAUUGGUUAACCACUGAGCCACAAUGGGAACUCAUCUUGAGAUUUCUUUCUCAGCUUCUAAAUUGUUUUUGUCAGUGUCCUCUUUUUAUCACUACUGCUGUCUUUUUUUCUCUCAGCCUUUCUUCCUAUCUUAAAGGAAGAUUCGUUCCAUUCUGUUUCUAGAGCUAAGUCCUCUUCCCAUCUCUCCCUGACAUACACCAUAAUCUCACUUCUUCAACCGAGGUGCCUUUAUUUGUUCCUUCUUUUGUAACUACAGAUUUCCCCAGAUUGUCCCAAUUUCUUAAAGAAUACAGCUCUUCAGAGUUCCCAUCAUGGCUCAGUAACUGACUAGUAACUAACUAGUAACUCAGUAACUAACUAGUAACUGACUAGUAACCAUGAGGAUGUGGGUUCGAUCCCUGGCCUUGAUCAGUGGGUUAAGGAUCUGGUGUUGCCGUGAGCUGUGGCAUAGGUUGCAGAUGUGGCUCAGAUCUGGUGUGGCUGUGGCUCUGGCGUAGGCCGGCAGCUGCAGCUCCGAUUCACCCUCUAUCCUGGGACCAUCCAUAUGCCUCAGGUGUGGCCCUAAAAAGACAAAAAAAAAAAAAAA